UCCCUGGUGGCUCAGAUGGUAAAGCUUCUGCCUGCAAUGCGGGAGACCCAGGUUUGAUUCCUGGGUCGGGAA
RNAcentral lists this transfer RNA (72 nucleotides) under Ovis aries (sheep). It matches the Rfam family "tRNA". Rfam says of the family: Transfer RNA (tRNA) molecules are approximately 80 nucleotides in length. Their secondary structure includes four short double-helical elements and three loops (D, anti-codon, and T loops). Lineage: Eukaryota; Metazoa; Chordata; Mammalia; Artiodactyla; Bovidae. The record is from Rfam by way of RNAcentral.